CCAGUGGUUUUGCCAUGGGCGCAGCCUGAUGCAGCCAUGCCGCGUGUGUGAAGAAGGCCUUCGGGUUGUAAAGCACUUUCAGUCAGGAGGAAAGGUUAACGGUUAAUACCCGUUAGCUGUGACGUUACUGACAGAAGAAGCACCGGCUAACUCCGUGCCAGCAGCCGCGGUAAUACGGAGGGUGCGAGCGUUAAUCGGAAUUACUGGGCGUAAAGCGUACGCAGGCGGUUUGUUAAGCGAGAUGUGAAAGCCCCGGGCUCAACCUGGGAACUGCAUUUCGAACUGGCAAACUAGAGUGUGAUAGAGGGUGGUAGAAUUUCAGGUGUAGCGGUGAAAUGCGUAGAGAUCUGAAGGAAUACCGAUGGCGAAGGCAGCCACCUGGGUCAACACUGACGCUCAUGUACGAAAGCGUGGGGAGCAAACGGGAUUAGAUACCCCGGUAGUCCACGCCGUAAACGAUGUCUACUAGAAGCUCGGAGCCUCGGUUCUGUUUUUCAAAGCUAACGCAUUAAGUAGACCGCCUGGGGAGUACGGCCGCAAGGUUAAAACUCAAAUGAAUUGACGGGGGCCCGCACAAGCGGUGGAGCAUGUGGUUUAAUUCGAUGCAACGCGAAGAACCUUACCUACACUUGACAUACAGAGAACUUACCAGAGAUGGUUUGGUGCCUUCGGGAACUCUGAUACAGGUGCUGCAUGGCUGUCGUCAGCUCGUGUUGUGAGAUGUUGGGUUAAGUCCCGCAACGAGCGCAACCCCUAUCCUUAGUUGCUAGCAGGUAAUGCUGAGAACUCUAAAGGAGACUGCCGGUGAUAAACCGGAGGAAGGUGGGGACGACGUCAAGUCAUCAUGGCCCUUACGUGUAGGGCUACACACGUGCUACAAUGGCGCAUACAGAGUGCUGCGAACUCGCGAGAGUAAGCGAAUCACUUAAAGUGCGUCGUAGUCCGGGAUUGGAGUCUGCAACUCGACUCCAUGAAGUCGGAAUC
Molecule: ribosomal RNA, 984 nt
Filed under: Pseudoalteromonas sp. DHHS11
Lineage: Bacteria; Pseudomonadati; Pseudomonadota; Gammaproteobacteria; Alteromonadales; Pseudoalteromonadaceae
Description: bacterial SSU rRNA
Rfam family: Bacterial small subunit ribosomal RNA
Source: RNAcentral